RNAcentral lists this ribosomal RNA (492 nucleotides) under uncultured bacterium. RNAcentral's name for it is "partial 16S ribosomal RNA". It matches the Rfam family "Bacterial small subunit ribosomal RNA", at positions 29 to 507 of the family's 1533-position model. The record is from RNAcentral.
AGUGAACGCUGGCGGUAGGCCUAACACAUGCAAGUCGAACGGCAGCACAGUAAGAGCUUGCUCUUACGGGUGGCGAGUGGCGGACGGGUGAGGAAUACAUCGGAAUCUACUUUUUCGUGGGGGAUAACGUAGGGAAACUUACGCUAAUACCGCAUACGACCUACGGGUGAAAGCAGUGGAUCUUCGGACCUUGCGCGAUUGAAUGAGCCGAUGUCGGAUUAGCUAGUUGGCGGGGUAAAGGCCCACCAAGGCGACGAUCCGUAGCUGGUCUGAGAGGAGGAUCAGCCACACUGGAACUGAGACACGGUCCAGACGCCUACGGGAGGCAGCAGUGGGGAAUAUUGGACAAUGGGCGCAAGCCUGAUCCAGCCAUCCCGCGUGGGUGAAGAAGGCCUUCGGGUUGUAAAGCCCUUUUGUUGGGAAAGAAAAGCAGCAGGUUAAUACCCCGCUGUUCUGACGGUACCCAAAGAAUAAGCACCGGCUAACUUCGUG